GAAGAAGAAGAAGAAGAAGAAGAAGAAGAAGAAGAAGAAGAAGAGGCGACUCGCUUGCUCGAGAAGGUUAACUGUUUUUCCAAGUGCCUACUUGAUUAGACCGUUGGCGCGGAGUCUGCAGGUUGGUUGUCCUACAAAAGAAAAUACUUCAAGAGAAUCAAACUGUGAAGAUCACCUUUUAGAAGCUGGGUGAAUCAGACUUCAUGUCUGGAGUUGUUGCCAUGGUUGCAGAAAUUGGAGGAGCGUCCUUAGAUGACGCAAUACGACGAGCUAUGGGAUUCCUCAUGUCCCAUGAAUUGGCAUUGCAGUUCAACCUUUUUGGCCGACAUGGGAAACACAAGUUCCGGGACCUGCGUCUCUUUGAUGUUGUCCAUGGAGCACUUAAAAGAAAUGGAUCCAUCCACGGAAUCACCCACAAAGAUACCGAAAAGGCACUAUCAAAGUGGUUUACUGGAGCCCGUGACAGAGGUGGAAAUCGAAAGGUUCGAGCGACUAAGGAGGCUGCCAGUUCACAUUCAGGUGGGCAGGACUUCCAAGAUGGACAGUUUUAAGAGAGCUUUCAAGUUUAAGCAUGCAUGUGGCAUGUAAGUUAUUGAACAAUGUGUUAUACAAAAGUAUUGUUCAGUGUGUGUGCGCGUGCGUGCUAGUAAACAAGUUUUUUGUUUUUGUUUACCAGCGCAAUUCUUGUUGUGGCACCAUUUGCUCUGUGUUAACAAAGUUCUAAUAAUUGCUGUGGUAAAAAAUAACUUCUAACAAUAUUUGAAAUUACAAAAUAAAAAGCCUUAACCAAAAGAAA
Molecule: long non-coding RNA, 796 nt
Organism: Fundulus heteroclitus (mummichog)
Lineage: Eukaryota; Metazoa; Chordata; Actinopteri; Cyprinodontiformes; Fundulidae
Exons: 4
Source: RefSeq, a predicted model, not a curated record